Triticum urartu is the source of this 1939-nucleotide non-coding RNA. NCBI's taxonomy places the organism in Eukaryota, Viridiplantae, Streptophyta, Magnoliopsida, Poales, Poaceae. The record is from RefSeq and is a predicted model, not a curated record.
CCCACCUCACGUCCAAAAAAAACCACCCCACCCCCCCCGCUGCCCCGAUCCCCACCUUGACCUCCCUCGAUCCCCUCCCCCGAGCGCCGCCACCCUCGCUCGAUCUCGCCGCCCUGCGCGCCUCCUCCAGCUGGCCGACCUAUCCAAGGCGCCCCCCCGGACCUACCAGCGCGGGGUCGCUGGGCGCCGCCCACGCCACCGGGAACCUGUUGCCGCACUUCCGCCAUGGCCGCACGCUCCUCCGUGGCCCAAUCGUCGCCGCCGCCGGGGAUCCUCGAGCACCAUCAUCCUGGCACGCAGUCCAUGGCCGCCUCCCCAUGCAGUCCCUUUCUUGCUGCCGGCAGAAAUCCUGUCAAUCCCUUCCUCUUGUCCUUCUCUUCCUCCAGUGAUCUUUGUUGGAUCCUGCUGCCGUCAACACCAGGCAUCGGAACCCCGGCCCUGCACUCCAUCACCGCGCCCUGUCUUCUUCUUGCUGCAGCUGCUCCACAUCACGUCCGUCCACCGUCGUGAUGCCCCCAACUCGUCUGCUUUCCCCAACCGCUGCUGGGUGACCUUCUCGCAAAGGCCAGCUCGACCUUCUCAAGGAAGGUUACUUCCCGAGGAUCCGGCUCGCAAGGUGCACACCAUCUCGUCCUAGUUGCUGCUGUGUGAAGAUCCGCUGGCCUGAAGACGCAAGAGGUAGUCUUUCUAGCUAAUGCUAAUGCUAUUUUCUUCCUCCUAAUGAAGUCGACGCCUUGAUUUUGAUGGAUAAGCAAGAACAGAGGAAGAUACAGAGCAUGAGUAGAACAUGGACUGCUCGCACGCGCCGCCAUGGACUGCUCCGCUGCCAUCCCUACUGACUGAACUCAUCUUAAGACUUUUAUUCACAGAUAUAACGGACUGGUUCGUACAAGUUACCAGUAUUAUUACAAUUAUAAAACAACAAGUUGCAGGUGUCAUCAGUUUGAUAGUUUAAUAGGCUUUUUUCUGGACAAGAAUCACCCAUCCCCGCGCAUAUCCGAAUCUCUCGAUCCACAACUAGCUAGUCAUUAGAUCUUAUAGCAAGAUGCCAACUUUUCUAUUGUUUACCAAAAGGAAAAAUAACUAUGUUUAAGUGUUCCGCUGAUGAUCAGGGGAUUGGGAGACAGACAUAUAAACUUGUCUUCAGAAACAGAUCACAAGCAAACAAACUGAAAUCUGUUUUUCUCACAGGUUAAUUGGUAGUAGUCCUAUUUUCAAUCCCAGAGCACCUGCCUGCCUGGGUUUGGGGGACUGAGUAGUCCUGCUUCUCACAGGUUUUGUUUUGUUUAUUUGUCACUUCAUUUUCUCGCUAUUUUUUCAGACCUAUUUGCCCAGCAAAAUGCUGCACUUUCGGUGCAAAACCGUCAAAGAUGAACUCAACAAUCUUCGAGGCGACGGCACAACCAAAAGGUACGAGGAGUGGGACCGUGUGUACCGCUAUGACUACUACAACGACCUCGGUGAGCCGGACAAGGGCUAUCCGCGCCCGGUUCUCGGCGGCACCCAAGAACUACCCUAUCCCCGUCUUGGCAGAACUGGCCGACCCCCAACAAAAACAGACCCUAGAUUGGAGAGCAGAAUUCCUCAGUACAAGAUAUAGGAGGCCCUCAACAUCACUGUCCCGCGUGAUGGUAUUUAUGCAUCUUCCUAGUUGCUACGGCAAUGCUGGAUUUAAUCAUCCUAGGAGAGAAGAAGCAAAAAGACAAUCAAAGUGUGAGAGAACACGUACAAUGAUGAGAGGACAAAAAAUGUGUGGUGGUGAAUAGCUCCACCGCAUUGCCAUUUGGCCCCAUUUUACCCAUUUAGCCAGUGUCCUCUUCAAAGUGUUAAUCUUUAAAGAUAAUGGAACCAAUUUCUUUAGUAUGUACUUACAAUUGCAACUCUGGGCGUCUGUGUAAUGUUUGUAAACUUGUAAAGAAAAUGGAAGUUCAGGGCGAAA